UUCGGCUUGUUCCCUGUCAUAGGCAUUUUCUGCAUGCCUGUUGUGUGACGUCUGCUCCCGGACAGACGCUGGUUUUCUGGCCGUCUCCGCCCAAGGUCACCAGGCCCCUGCCUCUCAGCCUUGACAAUGGAGUCUUACCACGCGAGAGCAAAACCCAAACUCCUGCCCCACGUGCCUCAGGCCUAGCCUCCCUCUCAUCUCUGAUGCUCACCUGACCGCGCGACUCUGGUCUCCACCUGUCACCCCUUCCAGGAGCACUUUUAGUUUUGGUUUGCUCACUGAUGUAUGCUCUGACUACCCUGCCUUUCUCAACCAGGAAGCUCACACUCUGUGCUAUGGCCUGGGAAAGCAGCAGAAGAUGUUCCAAGUCCUUGGGCCCCUGCACCCAUGUGGGAGACCUAGAAGAAGCUCCUGGUUCCUGGCUUCAGAUCGGCACAGCUUGCAGCCAUUUGAAGAGUGAACCAGCGGAUGGAAGACCUGUCUCUCUCUCUGCCUCUGUCUCUCUGUAAC
Lepus europaeus (European hare) is the source of this 510-nucleotide long non-coding RNA. RefSeq lists it as uncharacterized. The transcript has 3 exons. The record is from RefSeq and is a predicted model, not a curated record. Lineage: Eukaryota; Metazoa; Chordata; Mammalia; Lagomorpha; Leporidae.